Molecule: long non-coding RNA, 1932 nt
Organism: Nelumbo nucifera (sacred lotus)
Lineage: Eukaryota; Viridiplantae; Streptophyta; Magnoliopsida; Proteales; Nelumbonaceae
Source: RefSeq, a predicted model, not a curated record
UUCUCACAAUUGACUAAUUUAAAAUUCUUUUAAAACACAAUAUUACCUCCCUCCCUUAUCCCCUUCCUCUGACCGGCAACCCCUUCUUUCUCAUAGUUCCGGUCUCUUUUCCCUUACCUCUCUUUAUUUUUCCCUCUCUUACCUAGAGUCGUGUAGCUGUGUAGGGGUAAUCCUCGGAGGAGCAAAUCUGGAUUUUGAUGGCUGACGGAGAAACGAGAGGUUGCUGAUCGAGAUAUACUGAUGGCUCACGAAGAAAUGAGAGGCUGCUGAUCGAGAUAUACUAAUGGCUGACGGAGAGACCGAAUCAGAUUUGCAGCGGUAACUUCUAUUCCAUCAACACCAGUUAUUCCAGCAACAGGAGAGAUCCCGGGAAAGCGAAAGCCAAGAAGACUGUCUUCAAUAGCUGCGGAUUCUGAUUCACUUCCUCAUAAGCACGUUAGGUUGUGCCGAGUCAAAUUUGCUCUGCUUUUUUUCCGUUGCAGAAAAGAGAUCCCUUACCCCCACUUUCUUAUCAAUCUAAUGCUUUCUCUCUCUGAUUGUUAAAUGGAAGCAAUUUGACUUUGUCACCAAGCAUUUGAACUCAGGAGUCAGCGAACAAAAAAGCCCCUGUCUCAGCGAUUUCGCAACUAUAUACUGGGAGCUUCGGCAACUGGUUUCAUGGCAUGUGGAGAUAGCUGCCACUGACAUUCCUCAGACGAACGAGAGGGUUUUCUACUUCUCUCAAGGUCACAUGGAGUAAUUGAAUGCAUCAACAAACGGGAGGCUGCAGGUACUAUGGAUCCUCUGACUCCCAAUCGGGUUGCCUUCGCAGGUCUCACCGGUGUUUCCUGUAGGUCGUGAUGUGAUUCGAGAUGGCCGUCUCCUGUCCCCUUGCGAGUGGGGAAUCAGCUCUCGGGUCAUCGCUUCGCUCUGUUGUAUCUGGCCUGUCCUCUAGGCACGACUGACUGAAACGUGCGUGCAGAAGGCCGAGCUGCCUCGUAACAGUCGGCAUCGUAAUGAAACCAGUCAGUCUUCUGCACGCGUCAGUCCUCCGUCCUCCAUCCGCUGUGACAGGGAAGAGUUUCCUCGUAACGAAACCAGUCGGCCUUCUGUAUGCACAUUUCAGUCAAUCCUUCGUCCUCCGUCUGCUGUGACCGGGAAGAGCUGCCUCGUAACGAAACCAGCCGGCAUCUUAACGAAACCAGUCGGCCUUCUGCACGAACAUUUCAGUCAGUCCUCCAUUCUCCGUCCGCUGUGACCAGGAAGAACUACCUCAUAACGAAACCAGUCAGCACCGUCAUUCUCUGAUUCACACUUGUCGUCGUGGUCCUCAUUAGCAGCAGCCACUUUUUUCAGAAUAUCAAAGCUGAAGGCGAAGAGAGCAUCGUCGUCCUCCAUCCGGUUGACGAUUGAGUUUAAGGGUGAAAUGAUCAUUUUACAUUUUUACGUCCAUGUUUAGCGGCGCGAUAAUGUCUAAUCAAUUGUGAGAAAUAAUUGGCCACUACCUUCGAUCGGAGUUUUCCACGGUCUUUGACACCUGACCUCAUUCUAGCCAUGAAAGAGAUUGAUGACUAGAUCCUCAGCUCUUUAGUGGGACAUUAGUCGGAGUUGCAGACUUCAAAGGUGGUGUUGGAGUUGCAGAUCGACUUUGCAAUUCCCUCUGGGUUGCUCUGUGUCUGGCCUGGCCUAGUAUUAAUUCAGGCAUCAAUUGUUCUUUCUACAGAAAACUCCACUCAAAGUGUUGACUAAUAACUUGGGAAGAUCUUUCUCUUUAACUGUCUGAACUCAUUUCUAACUCUCUUUUUUUUAAUCAUUUUCUCUCACUCUCUCUGCAUCAUAUUACAUUCGUCUUAUCUUAAUAGUUCUUACAUGGUUUGAGACAUUGUUGAGUGAAACAUGUAUGGUUUUAGGUGUGCCUCUCCAUAAAUCCAGGCUGAGAUUUUUUUCUUCUUA